RNAcentral lists this ribosomal RNA (376 nucleotides) under uncultured bacterium. RNAcentral's name for it is "bacterial SSU rRNA". It matches the Rfam family "Bacterial small subunit ribosomal RNA", at positions 524 to 898 of the family's 1533-position model. The record is from RNAcentral.
UACAGAGGUGGCAAGCGUUGUUCGGAAUUACUGGGCGUAAAGGGCGCGUAGGCGGCUUGGUCAGUCCCGUGUGAAAUCCCUCGGCUCAACUGAGGAACUGCACGGGAAACUGCCUGGCUUGAGUUCGGGAGAGGGAAGCGGAAUUCCGGGUGUAGCGGUGAAAUGCGUAGAUAUCCGGAGGAACACCGGUGGCGAAGGCGGCUUCCUGGACCGACACUGACGCUGAGGCGCGAAAGCUAGGGGAGCAAACGGGAUUAGAUACCCCGGUAGUCCUAGCUGUAAACGAUGAGUGCUGGGUGUAGGGGGUAUCAACCCCUCCUGUGCCGAAGCUAACGCAUUAAGCACUCCGCCUGGGGAGUACGGUCGCAAGGCUGAA